AUAGCGUAUAUUAAAGUUGUUGUGGUUAAAAAGCUCGUAGUUGGAUCUCAGUUCGAGUCAGGCGGUCCACUUGCCAGUGGUACUGCCUGACUGAACACUUUAUCGGCUCGUCCUUUGGUGCUCUUCACCGAGUGUCAUAGGCGAUCGAUACGUUUACUUUGAAAAAAUUAGAGUGCUCAAAGCAGGCGUAACGCCCGAAUAAUGUUGCAUGGAAUAAUGGAAUAGGACCUCGGUUCUAUUUUGUUGGUUUUCGGAAUCUGAGGUAAUGAUUAAGAGGGACAGACGGGGGCAUUCGUAUUGCGGCGCUAGAGGUGAAAUUCUUGGACCGUCGCAAGACGAA
Molecule: ribosomal RNA, 340 nt
Filed under: uncultured eukaryote
Lineage: Eukaryota
Description: SSU rRNA
Rfam family: Eukaryotic small subunit ribosomal RNA
Source: RNAcentral